This 165-nucleotide ribosomal RNA is filed under the name Trianthema vleiense. RNAcentral's name for it is "5.8S ribosomal RNA". It matches the Rfam family "5.8S ribosomal RNA". Rfam says of the family: 5.8S ribosomal RNA (5.8S rRNA) is a component of the large subunit of the eukaryotic ribosome. It is transcribed by RNA polymerase I as part of the 45S precursor that also contains 18S and 28S rRNA. Functionally, it is thought that 5.8S rRNA may be involved in ribosome translocation. Lineage: Eukaryota; Viridiplantae; Streptophyta; Magnoliopsida; Caryophyllales; Aizoaceae. The record is from RNAcentral.
CACAACGACUCUCGGCAACGGAUAUCUCGGCUCUCGCAUCGAUGAAGAACGUAGCGAAAUGCGAUACUUGGUGUGAAUUGCAGAAUCCCGUGAACCAUCGAGUCUUUGAACGCAAGUUGCGCCCGAAGCCAUCAGGCCAAGGGCACGCCUGCCUGGGCGUCACGC